Molecule: long non-coding RNA, 528 nt
Organism: Eriocheir sinensis (Chinese mitten crab)
Lineage: Eukaryota; Metazoa; Arthropoda; Malacostraca; Decapoda; Varunidae
Exons: 2
Source: RefSeq, a predicted model, not a curated record
AACAAUAUUAUAUCAGUAAACACCAAGACCCAGCACAAACAUUAGAGGCAGCACAUAUAGUUGAUCCUUUUCUUCUUGAGAUGCUGAAUGCUGGGGUGGCGGUAUAGGGAAUUAUCAAGGGGUUGUGUACUUGGUUCAUAUAAAACAAGAUCCAGCAAGAACGUUAGAAGUACUGUGCUGGGUUGAUCCUUCUCAUCUUGGACCCUUGAAUGUUUGGUGGUAUUGUAGAGAAUGAUCAUAAGGUUGUGUGUGUAUGUGUUUGACCAUCCUGAAGUGCUCCAAGACUAUCCUAUUGUAGAGAAUGAUCAUAAAGUUGUGUGUGUACCUGUUUGACCAUCCUGAAGUGCUCCAAGACUAUCCUAUUGUAGAGAAUGAUCAUAAGGUUGUGUGUGUACGUGUUUGACUAUCCUGAAGUGCUCCAAGACUAUCCUAUUGUAGAGAAUGAUCAUAAGGUUGUGUGUGUACGUGUUUGACUAUCCUGAAGUGCUCCAAGACUAUCCUAUUGUAGAGAAUGAUCAUAAAGUUGUG